Molecule: long non-coding RNA, 636 nt
Organism: Pan paniscus (pygmy chimpanzee)
Lineage: Eukaryota; Metazoa; Chordata; Mammalia; Primates; Hominidae
Source: Ensembl
CCCCCUCACUUUGUGAGUUGUCACGUUUGUCAUUCUAGGAUAAACUUUCAGCCGGUGCAGCACGUACUUUGGGGUCAUUGCCCUGUGUUACCCCAAGGAUUGUUCAAAUAUUUGUGAUCUUGUCAAUCUCCCUCUUACUGGACGUGUGUCAUGGCAGUGUGGGAGGGGCAUUUUAUUCAAGGGGGAUAAAUGUGAGCCAGUGAGUAGCAACCAGCCCUUCAAGGGAGGCCAUGGAAGGCAGGUAGUAAAUACACUACUUCUUGGCCCAAGGUCGUAUGCAGGUGACCUUCAAGAGGAAAGAGGGAGGUUCACGAGUGCCCUGAAUUCCAUCCACAGAGCUAUUGGAUGUUUGGAGCCCAGGUGAAGAUCCCAGAGCUGGGGAAUGAAAGGUUGGAAAAGCCCAGCCAGCUGUGCCAGCCUCCAGAGACACUCUCUUGACUGCGAGGAAAGUGAUAGCCUGCUGGGCUGGACCUGGACUUUGAGACAGAACUUUCGAAUCCGAAGAAGAGAUGAUUUUCAGAUAGUCCUCCUUCCAGGUUCCGGGAAAGGCCAGGCGGGUGUCAGAGGUCUUUGUCAACCCGCUGAGUCAGCAGAGGCAGAAGGCAUUCUUCUUAAGUUCCCAGGGAGAGACUGGAG